UACGUAGGGACCAAGCGUUGUUCGGAUUUACUGGGCGUAAAGGGCGCGUAGGCGGCAUGACAAGUCACUUGUGAAAUCUCCGGGCUCAACUCGGAACGGUCAAGUGAUACUGUCGCGCUAGAGUGCGGAAGGGGCAAUCAGAAUUCUUGGUGUAGCGGUGAAAUGCGUAGAUAUCAAGAGGAAUACCUGAGGUGAAGACGGGUUGCUAGGCCGACACUGACGCUGAAGCGCGAAAGCCAGGGGAGCAAACGGG
This 253-nucleotide ribosomal RNA is filed under the name uncultured bacterium. RNAcentral describes it as "partial 16S ribosomal RNA". It matches the Rfam family "Bacterial small subunit ribosomal RNA", at positions 524 to 776 of the family's 1533-position model. The record is from RNAcentral.